RNAcentral lists this ribosomal RNA (639 nucleotides) under uncultured Actinomycetes bacterium. RNAcentral's name for it is "bacterial SSU rRNA". It matches the Rfam family "Bacterial small subunit ribosomal RNA", at positions 232 to 885 of the family's 1533-position model. The record is from RNAcentral. Lineage: Bacteria; Bacillati; Actinomycetota; Actinomycetes.
CGCGGCCUAUCAGCUUGUUGGUGAGGUAACGGCUCACCAAGGCAUCGACGGGUAGCUGGUCUGAGAGGACGAUCAGCCACACUGGGACUGAGACACGGCCCAGACUCCUACGGGAGGCAGCAGUAGGGAAUCUUGCGCAAUGGGCGAAAGCCUGACGCAGCAACGCCGCGUGGGGGAUGAAUGCCUUCGGGUUGUAAACCCCUUUCAGCAGGGACGAAAAUGACGGUACCUGCAGAAGAAGCUCCGGCCAACUACGUGCCAGCAGCCGCGGUAAUACGUAGGGAGCGAGCGUUGUCCGGAAUUAUUGGGCGUAAAGAGCUCGUAGGCGGUUCGGUAAGUCGGGUGUGAAAACUCAAGGCUCAACCUUGAGACGCCACUCGAUACUGCUGUGACUUGAGUCCGGUAGAGGAGUGUGGAAUUCCUGGUGUAGCGGUGAAAUGCGCAGAUAUCAGGAGGAACACCAGCGGCGAAGGCGGCACUCUGGGCCGGUACUGGCGCUGAGGAGCGAAAGCAUGGGGAGCAAACAGGAUUAGAUACCCUGGUAGUCCAUGCCGUAAACGUUGGGCACUAGGUAUGGGAUCAUAUCAACGGAUUCCGUGCCGUAGCUAACGCAUUAAGUGCCCCGCCUGGGGAGUACGG